UCCUCAGUGGCUCAGUGGUAAAGAAUCUGCCUGUAAUGCAGGCGACUCGGGUUUGAUCCCUGGGUCAGGAA
Molecule: transfer RNA, 71 nt
Filed under: Bos taurus (domestic cattle)
Lineage: Eukaryota; Metazoa; Chordata; Mammalia; Artiodactyla; Bovidae
Rfam family: tRNA
About the family: Transfer RNA (tRNA) molecules are approximately 80 nucleotides in length. Their secondary structure includes four short double-helical elements and three loops (D, anti-codon, and T loops).
Source: Rfam by way of RNAcentral